RNAcentral lists this Y RNA (97 nucleotides) under Propithecus coquereli (Coquerel's sifaka). RNAcentral's name for it is "Y RNA (ENSPCOG00000011004.1)". It matches the Rfam family "Y RNA". From Rfam's summary of the family: Y RNAs are components of the Ro ribonucleoprotein particle (Ro RNP), in association with Ro60 and La proteins. The Y RNAs and Ro60 and La proteins are well conserved, but the function of the Ro RNP is not known. In humans the RNA component can be one of four small RNAs -- hY1, hY3, hY4 and hY5. Lineage: Eukaryota; Metazoa; Chordata; Mammalia; Primates; Indriidae. The record is from Rfam by way of RNAcentral.
GACUGGUCCAAGUGCAGUGGUGUUUACAACUAAUUAAUCACAACCAGUUACAGAUCUCUUUGUUCUUUUUCUUCCUGCUUCACUUGACUAGCCUAAA